CCUACGGGGCGCUGCAGUGGGGAAUAUUGGACAAUGGGCGAAAGCCUGAUCCAGCCAUGCCGCGUGUGUGAAGAAGGCCUUCGGGUUGUAAAGCACUUUCAGUGGGGAAGAAAGCCUUGGGGCUAAUACCCUCGAGGAAGGACAUCACCCACAGAAGAAGCACCGGCUAACUCCGUGCCAGCAGCCGCGGUAAUACGGAGGGUGCGAGCGUUAAUCGGAAUUACUGGGCGUAAAGCGCGCGUAGGCGGUCUGAUAAGCCGGUUGUGAAAGCCCCGGGCUCAACCUGGGAACGGCAUCCGGAACUGUCAGGCUAGAGUGCAGGAGAGGAAGGUAGAAUUCCCGGUGUAGCGGUGAAAUGCGUAGAUAUCGGGAGGAAUACCAGUGGCGAAGGCGGCCUUCUGGACUGACACUGACGCUGAGGUGCGAAAGCGUGGGUAGCAAACAGGAUUAGAUACCCUAGUAGUC
RNAcentral lists this ribosomal RNA (465 nucleotides) under Vreelandella stevensii. Its description in RNAcentral is "partial 16S ribosomal RNA". It matches the Rfam family "Bacterial small subunit ribosomal RNA", at positions 338 to 795 of the family's 1533-position model. Lineage: Bacteria; Pseudomonadati; Pseudomonadota; Gammaproteobacteria; Oceanospirillales; Halomonadaceae. The record is from RNAcentral.